RNAcentral lists this ribosomal RNA (499 nucleotides) under uncultured bacterium. RNAcentral's name for it is "partial 16S ribosomal RNA". It matches the Rfam family "Bacterial small subunit ribosomal RNA", at positions 28 to 507 of the family's 1533-position model. The record is from RNAcentral.
GAUGAACGCUGGCGGCGUGCCUAAUACAUGCAAGUCGAGCGAACAGACGAGAGUGCUUGCACUCUCUGACGUUAGCGGCGGACGGGUGAGCAACACGUGGGUAACCUACCUAUAAGACUGGGAUAACUUCGGGAAACCGGAGCUAAUACCGGAUAAUAUUUAGCUUCGCAUGAAGCAAUAGUGAAAGACGGUUCUGCUGUCACUUAUAGAUGGACCCGCGGUGUAUUAGCUAGUUGGUGAGGUAACGGCUCACCAAGGCAACGAUACAUAGCCGACCUGAGAGGGUGAUCGGCCACACUGGGACUGAGACACGGCCCAGACUCCUACGGGAGGCAGCAGUAGGGAAUCUUCCGCAAUGGACGAAAGUCUGACGGAGCAAUGCCGCGUGAGUGAAGAAGGUUUUCGGAUCGUAAAACUCUGUUGUAAGGGAAGAACAAGUACGUUAGUAACUGAACGUACCUUGACGGUACCUUACCAGAAAGCCACGGCUAACUACGUG